Gastrolobium bilobum is the source of this 3312-nucleotide RNA transcript. It is a transcript of the gene named E3 SUMO-protein ligase SIZ1-like, with no coding region annotated. The record is from RefSeq and is a predicted model, not a curated record. The transcript has 19 exons. Lineage: Eukaryota; Viridiplantae; Streptophyta; Magnoliopsida; Fabales; Fabaceae.
GAUUGGAUAAUCGGCGAUAGGUCCGAGCUUUAAAAUGUAGAUUUGGUUUUGUGGGUGAAAAAGAAACGCAGACAAGCGAAUGAACAGGGACGAGUGCAGACGAGGAGUAAAUGGAUCAUUACUCAGGGUAGCAUGUGCUUGCUUCCGUUGCUUUACUUGCUGCUUGCUGCUUGCUGCUUGUUAUUGCUGAAGAUUCUGUGCAAAAUGGAUAUAGUAUCCAGUUGCAAGGAAAAAUUGACAUAUUUUCGUAUAAAAGAGCUCAAAGAUGUGCUUACUCAGUUAGGACUUUCGAAGCAGGGAAAGAAGCAGGAUCUCGUUGAUAGGAUACUAUCUAUUCUCUCAGAUGAACAAGUUUCCAAAAUGUGGGCCAAGAAGAAUGCUGUUGGAAAAGAACAGGUGGCGAAAUUAGUGGAUGACACAUAUAGAAAAUUAUCAGUGUCUGGGGCCACUGAUCUAGCAUCAAAGGGACAGGUUACCUCAGAUAGCAGUAAUGUGAAAAUUAAAGGUGAAAUCGAUGAUUCCUUUCAAUCAGAUACAAAGAUUCGCUGUCUCUGUGGAAGUUUAUCGGAAAUAGAGCCAUUGAUCAAGUGUGAAGGUACAAGAUGCUAUGUGUGGCAGCACUUCAACUGUGUUAUUAUUCCGGAGAAACCUAUGGAAGGAAUCCCGCCAGAUCCUGAUAAAUUUUAUUGCGAAAUAUGUCGUCUAAGUCGUGCAGACCCGUUUUGGGUUUCAGAAAAGCACCUUUUGUUUCCUGUGAAGUUGAUUACAACCAAUAUUCCAACUGAUGGAACCAAUCCAAUAAUAAGUGUGGAGAGAACAUUUCAACUUACAAGAGAAGACAAGGACUUGUUGUCAAAAUCGGAAUUUGAUGUUCAGGCUUGGUGUAUGCUUCUAAAUGACAAAGUUUCAUUCCGGAUGCAAUGGCCUCAAUAUACUGACCUACAGGUUAAUGGUCUUCCUGUUCGUGCAAUUAACAGACCUGGUUCACAAGUGCUUGGUGCUAAUGGUCGUGACGAUGGUCCAAUUAUCACGCCAUAUACAAAAGACGGAAUUAAUAAGAUUUCGUUAGCAGGGUGUGAUAAUCGCAUUUUCUGUUUAGGGGUUCGUAUUGUUAGAAGGUGCAGCAUGCAACAGAUCCUAGACAUGAUUCCAAAGGAAUCUGAUGGUGAGCGUUUCGAAGAUGCUCUUGCACGUGUCUGUUGUUGUGUCGGGGGAGGAAAUGCAACUGACAAUGCUGAUAGUGACAGUGAUUUGGAAGUGGUUUCGGAUACUUUUAGCAUCAACCUUCGUUGUCCAAUGAGUGGUUCAAGAAUGAAGAUUGCAGGAAGAUUCAAACCUUGUGUUCACAUGGGUUGUUUCGAUCUUGAAAUUUUUGUGGAAUUGAAUCAACGUUCAAGGAAGUGGCAGUGCCCCAUAUGUCUUCAAAACUAUGCGUUGGAGAAUAUCAUAAUUGAUCCUUAUUUCAAUCGCAUCACUUCUAUGAUGAAAAAUUGUGGAGAAGAGGUUACAGAGGUUGAGGUGAAGCCUGAUGGUUAUUGGCGUGUCAAGACUAAGAGUGAAAGUGAGCGCCGGGAGUUGGGGAAUCUUGCUCAGUGGCACUGUCCUGAUGGAUCCCUCUCUGUUUCUACUGAUGGAGACCUCAAGAGAGUAGAAACUGCGAAGCUCAAACAGGAAUGUGUUUCAGACAGUCCUACUGGUUUAGUACUUGGCAUCAGGAAGAACCGUAAUGGAGUUUGGGAAUUCAGUAAAGCAGAGGACACAAACACUUAUUCUGGUAAUAGACUGAAUGAGGAUUUUGGAAAUGAUGAACAUGUGGUUAUUCCAAUGAGCAGCAGUGCCACUGGAAGUGGCCGGGAUGGUGAUGAUCCUAGCGUAAAUCAGGGUGGUGGUGGGCAUAUUGAUUAUUCUACUACCAAUGGGAUUGAGAUGGAUUCUGUGUGUCACAAUAAUGUUGAUUCAGCUUAUGGAUAUACUGUUCAUAACACUUCUGCUCCGGCGGGUGAUGCUGAAGUUAUUGUUCUUAGUGAUUCAGAAGAAGACAAUGAUAUAUUGGUAUCUCCUGCGAUUGGGUACAGAAAUAAUCAAACUCGUGCUGCAGUUGAUGUUUACUCGAUGCCACCACCUGCCAUUAUCGAUCCAUAUAUAGAAGAUCAUAAUCUUGGUGGAAAUCCAUGCUUGGGAGUUUUUAAUAAUCCAAGUGAAGAUGAUUUUGGGAUGCACGCCCUCUGGCCGCCAUUGCAUUCUGGAAAUCAGGCAGGCUCAGGUUUCCAAUUAUUCAGUUCUGAUGUUGAUGUGUCAGAUGCAUUGGUUCAUUUGCAGCAUGGUGAUAUUAAUUGCUCUUCAUCACUGAAUGAUUAUACAUUGGCUUCAGAUGCUGCUUUGGGAUCUAGUACUCUUAUAGCAGAUUCCUCUGCAGGUCGACCUGAUGCUGAUUUAAAUGGUGGCUUGGUUGACAAUCCAUUGGCAUUUGCUGGAGAAGAUCCGUCGCUUCAGAUCUUUCUCCCUACAAGACCAGCAGAAUCAUCUGUGCAGCAUGAAUUGAGAGAUCAUGCAGAUGUGUCAAAUGGUGUCUGCGGCGAGGAUUGGAUCUCUCUUAGGCUUGGAGGAGGUGCGGUUGGCAGUAAUGGUGAUGGUUCUACUCCAAAUAGGUUGUAUUCCAAACCGCAAAUUACAUCCAGAGAAGGUGCCACAGAUUCUUUGACUGAUACUGCUUCUUUGCUUCUUGGUAUGAAUGAUGUGAGAUCUGACAAGGCAAGUAGGCAAAGAACAGAUAGCCCUUUCUCAUUUCCCCGCCAAAAACGUUCAAAACUGAAGAAAGUUGAGCAGCAUUUUUGGUCCUCAGGAAAUGGAAGUUGAUUUGGUCUUGAGGCAUCUCCGGUGGAGCAUAGCUACGAAAGUUGCCCAGCCAAAAUGCUUGCACCUGUCAGGCGCAUGGGUAUUAUUCCCCAGUUUACAUCCAUGAUCUGAUGGUACUGGUGUAGUACGUCUUCCAGAUGGACAUUCAAACAUAUAGAUCUGAUGGUUCAAACUUCCUGAUGUGGUUGGAAGUUCCCCGUUAAGAAAUUUUAUAUCUGCAAUUUUGUCUCUGCUUAGAACAAUUAAUCUGUAAAUGUUAAACCGACAGAUUCAAUCGUAAAAUCAAAAAUAGUUUUAUCUUAUUCACACCCAGGUAGACGUCCAACUUUGUAAUAUAUGAUUGCCAAUAUUUGUAAUAUAUUUAGGCAUUAAAGUUGCAUCCUGUCUUGUAAAUCCUGGUGAGGAUAAACAUUUUUGCCGUUUGCCUUUGUAUUUAGUUAUAGCUCACCGUCUUGA